This 759-nucleotide ribosomal RNA is filed under the name Campylobacter upsaliensis. Its description in RNAcentral is "bacterial SSU rRNA". It matches the Rfam family "Bacterial small subunit ribosomal RNA", at positions 774 to 1533 of the family's 1533-position model. The record is from RNAcentral. Lineage: Bacteria; Pseudomonadati; Campylobacterota; Epsilonproteobacteria; Campylobacterales; Campylobacteraceae.
AGGAUUAGAUACCCUGGUAGUCCACGCCCUAAACGAUGUAUGCUAGUUGUUGGGGUGCUAGUCAUCUCAGUAAUGCAGCUAACGCAUUAAGCAUACCGCCUGGGGAGUACGGUCGCAAGAUUAAAACUCAAAGGAAUAGACGGGGACCCGCACAAGCGGUGGAGCAUGUGGUUUAAUUCGAAGAUACGCGAAGAACCUUACCUAGGCUUGAUAUCCAACAAAUUCUGUAGAGAUACGGAAGUGCUAGCUUGCUAGAAUGUUGAGACAGGUGCUGCACGGCUGUCGUCAGCUCGUGUCGUGAGAUGUUGGGUUAAGUCCCGCAACGAGCGCAACCCUCGUCCUUAGUUGCUAACGAUUCGGUCGAGCACUCUAAGGAGACUGCCUUCGUAAGGAGGAGGAAGGUGGGGACGACGUCAAGUCAUCAUGGCCCUUACGCCUAGGGCGACACACGUGCUACAAUGGCAUAUACAAUGAGACGCAAUACCGCGAGGUGGAGCAAAUCUAUAAAAUAUGUCCCAGUUCGGAUUGUUCUCUGCAACUCGAGAGCAUGAAGCCGGAAUCGCUAGUAAUCGCAAAUCAGCCAUGUUGCGGUGAAUACGUUCCCGGGUCUUGUACUCACCGCCCGUCACACCAUGGGAGUUGAUUUCACUCGAAGUGGAAAUACUAAACUAGUUAUCCCCCACAGUGGAAUCAGCGACUGGGGUGAAGUCGUAACAAGGUAACCGUAGGAGAACCUGCGGUUGGAUCACCUCCUUUCUA